CAGCAGCCGCGGUAAUACGGAGGGUGCAAGCGUUAUCCGGAUUUAUUGGGUUUAAAGGGUCCGUAGGCGGACUUAUAAGUCAGUGGUAAAAGCCUGUCGCUUAACGAUAGAACUGCCAUUGAUACUGUAAGUCUUGAGUAUAUUUGAGGUAGCUGGAAUAAGUAGUGUAGCGGUGAAAUGCAUAGAUAUUACUUAGAACACCAAUUGCGAAGGCAGGUUACCAAGAUAUAACUGACGCUGAGGGACGAAAGCGUGGGUAGCGAACAGGAUUAGAUACCCGCGUAGUCCCUGUCUCUUAUAC
This 301-nucleotide ribosomal RNA is filed under the name uncultured bacterium. RNAcentral describes it as "partial 16S ribosomal RNA". It matches the Rfam family "Bacterial small subunit ribosomal RNA", at positions 509 to 807 of the family's 1533-position model. The record is from RNAcentral.